CUGGUGCAUCAUUCUUGAGAAAACUUCAUAACUAACAAAUUUACGCAUCAAGGAGUCUCUGGGGAAUGCUUUCCAGGAUGGCUUAUCUUCUCUUGUAGUGAUUCUGGUUUAUCAACCAUACAUUUGUGGUGAAGAUGAGCUUCGCUUUACUUGUUGAUUCAAAUGUUUGCAGUGAAUGUGCUUAGUGUAUUGUGGGGUUGGGGGGGGAUUACAGAUUUUUAAUUGUUAGCUUAACAAGGUAAGAUUUUGCUGUUCUGCCUUGUAAAGCAGAUUUUUUUUUUCACAAAGUUCUUGAAUAAAAUUGAGUCUAUCAUUGCUGAAUUACAACUAAAAAUCUGUAAUUCCCCACCAACCCCACAAU
RNAcentral lists this unclassified non-coding RNA (361 nucleotides) under Hevea brasiliensis (rubber tree). Lineage: Eukaryota; Viridiplantae; Streptophyta; Magnoliopsida; Malpighiales; Euphorbiaceae. The record is from RNAcentral.